AUACAUGUAUAUGUGAAUAUACACGUGUCUAUCAUAAUAUCAUCCGUUGUUUUAUAUUUUUGUGUAUAUCUCAAAGCAUAUUCAAGAUUUUUAUACCGUGGUACCUAAAUAUAAUUUAUUUAUGUUCCAAACAGUGUCUACACCAUCAUGAAUAAGCUGUGGCUGAAAACCAUUUGAUAAUGAAGCAGUAGAGCUGACAACGAUAUUCAGUCAUUGCCUGUUUUUUGUUUUGUUUUGUUUUGUUUUGUUUUGUUCUGUUUGAUGCUUUUAAAACUGCUGUCUAGGGUCGGAAUUGCAACUUGCUCCGGAGGGCACGGGCUCCGUAGGCACCAAUUGCAAGGACCCCUCCCCCUGCGGGUGCUCCCAUGGCACAAUUCGCGUUCGAGAGUGACCUGCACUCGCUUCUUCAGUUGGAUGCACCCAUCCCCAGUGCACCCCCUACGCGCUGGCAGCGCAAAGCCAAGGAAGCCACAGGCCCGGCCCCCUCACCCAUGCGGGCCGCCAACCGAUCCCACAGCGCCGGCAGGACUCCGGGCCGAACUCCUGGCAAAUCCAGUUCCAAGGUUCAGACCACUCCUAGCAAACCUGGUGAUGACCGCUAUAUCCCCCAUCGCAGUGCUGCCCAGAUGGAGGUGGCCAGCUUCCUCCUGAGCAAGGAGAACCAGCCUGAAAACCGCCAGACGCCCACCAAGAAGGAACAUCAGAAAGCCUGGGCUUUGAAUCUGAACGGUUUUGAUGUAGAGGAAGCCAAGAUCCUUCGGCUCAGUGGAAAACCACAAAAUGCACCAGUGGUUACCAGAACAGACUGAAAGUACUCUACAGCCAAAAGGCCACUCCUGGCUCCAGCCGGAAGACCUGCCGUUACAUUCCUUCCCUGCCAGACCAUAUCCUGGAUGCCCCUGAAAUCCGAAAUGACUACUACCUGAACCUUGUGGACUGGAGCUCUGGGAAUGUACUGGCCAUGGCACUGGACAACAGUGUGUACCUGUGGAGUGCAAGCUCUGGUGACAUCCUGCACCUUUUGCAAAUGGAGCAGCCUGGGGAAUAUGUAUCCUCUGUGGCCUGGAUCAAAGAGGGCAACUACUUGGCUGUGGGCAUCAGCAGUGCUGAGGUGCAGCUAUGGGAUGUGCAGCAGCAGAAAUGGCUUCGAAAUAUGACCAGUCACUCUGCCCGAGUGGGCUCCCUAAGCUGGAACAGCUAUAUCCUGUCCAGUGGUUCACAUUCUGGCCACAUCCACCACCAUGAUGUUCGGGUAGCAGAACAUCAUGUGGCCACACUGAGUGGCCACAGCCAGGAAGUGUGUGGGCUGCACUGGGCCCCAGAUGGAUGACAUUUGGCCAGUGGUGGCAAUCAUAACUUGGUCAAUGUGUGGCCUAGUGCUCUUGGAGAGGGUGGCUGGGUUCCUCUGCAGACAUUCACCCAGCAUCAAGGGGCUGUCAAGGCCGUAGCAUGGUGUCCCUGGCAGUCCAAUGUCCUGGCAACAGGAGGGUGCAGCAGUCAUCGACACAUUCGCAUCUAGAACGUGUGCUCUGGUGCUCGUCUGAGUGCCAUGGAUGCCCUUUCCCAGGUGUGCUCCAUCCUCUGGUCUCCCCACUACAAGGAGCUCAUCUCAGGCCAUGGCUUUGCACAGAACCAGCUGGUUAUUUGGAAGUACCCAACCAUGGCCAAGGUGGCUGAACUCAAAGGUCACACAUCCCGGGUCCUGAGUCUGACCAUGUGCCCAGAUGGGGCCACAGUGGCAUCCGCAGCAGCAGAUGAGACCCUGAGGCUAUGGCACUGUUUUGAGUUGGACCCUGCGUGGCGGCGGGAGCAGGAGAAGGCCAGUGCAGCCAAAAGCAGCCUCAUCCACCAAGGCAUCCGCUGAAGACCAACCCAUCACCUCAGUUGUUUUUUAUUUUUCUAAUAAAGUCAUGUCUCUCUUCAAAAAAAAAA
This is an RNA transcript of Nomascus leucogenys (northern white-cheeked gibbon), 1932 nucleotides long. It is a transcript of the gene named cell division cycle protein 20 homolog pseudogene, with no coding region annotated. Lineage: Eukaryota; Metazoa; Chordata; Mammalia; Primates; Hylobatidae. The record is from RefSeq and is a predicted model, not a curated record. The transcript has a single exon.